RNAcentral lists this ribosomal RNA (473 nucleotides) under uncultured bacterium. Its description in RNAcentral is "bacterial SSU rRNA". It matches the Rfam family "Bacterial small subunit ribosomal RNA", at positions 30 to 526 of the family's 1533-position model. The record is from RNAcentral.
AUUGAACGCUGGCGGAAUGCUUUACACAUGCAAGUCGAACGGUAGAGGGGGCAACCCCUUGAGAGUGGCGAACGGGUGAGUAAUAUAUCGGAACGUGCCCAGUCGUGGGGAUAACGUAGCGAAAGUUACGCUAAUACCGCAUACGAUCUAAGGAUGAAAGCGGGGGAUCGCAAGACCUCGCGCGAUUGGAGCGGCCGAUAUCAGAUUAGGUAGUUGGUGAGGUAAAGGCUCACCAAGGCGACGAUCCUUAGCUGGUCUGAGAGGAUGAUCAGCCACACUGGGACUGAGACACGGCCCAGACUCCUACGGGAGGCAGCAGUGGGGAAUAUUGGACAAUGGGCGAAAGCCUGAUCCAGCAAUGCCGCGUGAGUGAUGAAGGCCUUAGGGUUGUAAAGCUCUUUUACCCGGGAUGAUAAUGACAGUACCGGGAGAAUAAGCUCCGGCUAACUCCGUGCCAGCAGCCGCGGUAAAGU